CCCAGCAACUUUACGGACAUCCAGGCCGUUGCAGAGCUGGUGCCUGGCCAGGGCUUUGCCCCAGAAAAAUGUCCUGGAAUUCCUGGCGCCCCUAAAACCAGUGGCCACUCGAAUAGUGAGAAAUGCGCACGGGAACAAGACAGGGUACGUCUUCGUGGAUUUCAGCAGCGAAGAGGAGGUGAAGAGAGCACUGAAGUGCAACCGGGAGUACAUGGAUAAGGAGGC
Ictidomys tridecemlineatus (thirteen-lined ground squirrel) is the source of this 225-nucleotide non-coding RNA. The record is from RefSeq and is a predicted model, not a curated record. Lineage: Eukaryota; Metazoa; Chordata; Mammalia; Rodentia; Sciuridae.